GCCCUGUUAGCUCAGUUGGUAGAGCAUUGGACGUUUAAUUCAAUGGUCGUGGUUUCAAGUCCAACAUAGGGCA
This 73-nucleotide transfer RNA is filed under the name Hofstenia miamia. RNAcentral describes it as "tRNA-Lys for anticodon UUU". It matches the Rfam family "tRNA". From Rfam's summary of the family: Transfer RNA (tRNA) molecules are approximately 80 nucleotides in length. The record is from RNAcentral. Lineage: Eukaryota; Metazoa; Xenacoelomorpha; Acoela; Hofsteniidae.